UACAGAGGGUGCGAGCGUUGUCCGGAAUCACUGGGCGUAAAGGGCGCGUAGGUGGCGGCCCAAGUCCGUGGUGAAAGCUCGAUGCUCAACAUCGAGUCGGCCACGGAUACUGGGUUGCUCGAGCACUGUAGGGGCAGAUGGAAUUCCGGGUGUAGCGGUGGAAUGCGUAGAGAUCCGGAAGAACACCGGUGGCGAAGGCGGUCUGCUGGGCAGUUGCUGACACUGAGGCGCGACAGCGUGGGGAGCAAACAGG
This 253-nucleotide ribosomal RNA is filed under the name uncultured bacterium. RNAcentral's name for it is "partial 16S ribosomal RNA". It matches the Rfam family "Bacterial small subunit ribosomal RNA", at positions 524 to 776 of the family's 1533-position model. The record is from RNAcentral. RNAcentral also lists the same sequence under 1 other name.